AUUGAACGCUGGCGGCAUGCUUUACACAUGCAAGUCGAACGGUAACAGGCCUUCGGGUGCUGACGAGUGGCGCACGGGUGAGUAAUGCAUCGGAACGUGCCCAGAGGUGGGGGAUAACGCAGCGAAAGCUGUGCUAAUACCCCAUGUGAGCUGAGGAUGAAAGCGGGGGACCAGGCAGCAAUGUUUGGCCUCGCGCCUUUGGAGCGGCCGAUGUCAGAUUAGGUAGUUGGUGGGGUAAAGGCCUACCAAGCCGACGAUCUGUAGCUGGUCUGAGAGGACGACCAGCCACACUGGGACUGAGACACGGCCCAGACUCCUACGAGAGGCAGCAGUGGGGAAUUUUGGACAAUGGGCGCAAGCCUGAUCCAGCAAUGCCGCGUGCGGGAAGAAGGCCUUCGGGUUGUAAACCGCUUUUGUACGGAACGAAAAGGCUCUGGCUAAUACCUGGGGCUGAUGACGGUACCGUAAGAAUAAGCACCGGCUAACUACGUG
RNAcentral lists this ribosomal RNA (492 nucleotides) under uncultured bacterium. RNAcentral describes it as "partial 16S ribosomal RNA". It matches the Rfam family "Bacterial small subunit ribosomal RNA", at positions 30 to 507 of the family's 1533-position model. The record is from RNAcentral.